Molecule: long non-coding RNA, 388 nt
Filed under: Elaeis guineensis (African oil palm)
Lineage: Eukaryota; Viridiplantae; Streptophyta; Magnoliopsida; Arecales; Arecaceae
Description: long non-coding RNA (EGUI_LNC022299)
Source: RNAcentral
CGCUCAAUGGCUUGUCAUCAAUGGUGUCCCUCUCUACAACAAAAUUUUACUUGAAACAAACAUAAAUAACUGAUGUUGCAAUUGGUUGCCUAGUCUUCUAUCUAGUGAUGUUACUUCGAGGCAUCAAAAGAAUUAAAUCAAUUAAAAUUAAUUUCAAAGUUGAAAUUCAAAAUAUUUGAAGAAACAUAUACUUUUGUGACUCAUCUUCAAUUUUUUCCUGUUUGCUCCAACAGGUGGCUCUCACGAUCCAAUACUUCUACACGAUUCUUGAUGAAGCUAGCUACCUCGACAGCUGCCGUGUUGGUGCAUGGAACAAAAUUAACACCGUUUAUGAUCGAUUAAUAUAUGAGAAGGGAUUUGCCACGGCAGUUCGAGUUUGGAUGACCUG